CAGUAGCCGCGGGAACACGUAGGGUGCGAGCGUUAAUCGGAAUUACUGGGCGUAAAGCGUGCGCAGGCGGUUGUGUAAGACAGGUGUGAAAUCCCCGGGCUUAACCUGGGAACUGCGCUUGUGACUGCACAGCUAGAGUAUGGCAGAGGGGGGUGGAAUUCCACGUGUAGCAGUGAAAUGCGUAGAGAUGUGGAGGAACACCGAUGGCGAAGGCAGCCCCCUGGGCCAAUACUGACGCUCAUGCACGAAAGCUAGGGGAGCAAAUGGGAUUAGAUACCCGGGUAGUCCCUGUCUCUUAUAC
RNAcentral lists this ribosomal RNA (301 nucleotides) under uncultured bacterium. RNAcentral describes it as "partial 16S ribosomal RNA". It matches the Rfam family "Bacterial small subunit ribosomal RNA", at positions 509 to 807 of the family's 1533-position model. The record is from RNAcentral.